AAUUCUCACUAUCCUCCUGCUCAGGAGAACACAGGUACUGAAUUCUCACUAUCCUCCUGCUCAGGAGAACACAGGUACUGAAUUCUCACUAUCCUCCUGCUCAGGAGAAAACACAAGUAGGCCUGCAGUACAGUAUGUUGGCAUGUUGAGGGCUUUCUACCUAAAUCAUACACACGUACCAGUGUUUACGUGGAGUCCAAUCUGACCCCACCAUUCCUAUCUAGGCGAUUCCACACCAGGGGAGUGGAAAAUAGUUAUCUCAGAAUGUUCUAGAAAUUCUCACAUAGGAGGAACUUCAUUGGGAGGAAGGAUGUUUAUCAAAAGAAGACCAUCGCUCUCUCCCAGAAGUGUGGAUGGUGCGUAAAAACCCAUUCGUUCAGAUAAAAGGUUUUGAUGUAAACUUAAAGCUUCCUUUUUAAUGUUUCACUUGUUUUCAUUUCGCUGCAUUCAGACGUUUUGGCUUUACAGCCUUCUUCAGUGUCUAGGUACAAAGCUUUUUUUUCCAUUCGAAACAACAUUUGUAGAGAACACAGGUGAGCAACCCAAUCAGGGAUUCUACUCAUCUGCCAGUUAGGGAUGUCGUUUCUCUGGUCUUCCUGUAGACAAGUUGUUUUAAAUGCUUUUUACAUUUGUAUCACAAACCAUUUUUAUUUAUUAUCAUGGUGAAAGUGGAAACUUAGGCCCCUUUUAGAUUUGUACAUGCCCUCCUGUAAGUUUGGGACGCCGUUUGGGUCUUUGCGUGUGUGGAAAAAAAAGCGACACCUUUCAAAUAACACUAUUUGACAUGUUAAAUAAAGCUUUUCAUUUGACACAUUAAAUGACAACAGUUCUAUUCUAGAAUGUUGUGUUGUGCUGAAUUUGCCCGUGCAAGCCAAGCGCCACCACUACUAUCAGUAUCACUGUCAAAGCUGUACAAAACCAAGUCUGCAAACAAGCAAACACCGGCCACGAACUGUGUGUUUACAAUACCGCCUUGGUAAUAAGGCAUUAUUUGUUUGACCUCUACCUCUGGGGUAGUUAGCUUUAGCUUGGUACCUAGCUAGCACCAAUACAACCAGCCUGAAAACAAUGACCAGUAGAAACUGCAGUCAUUUUCAUUAUUCUUAGCAAUGAUUUAGGAAUCCUUGUAACUUUUAGCUAAGUAGCCACUUGUUGUUCACCUAUUGAAAUUUAACUUCAGUUCAUGAAAAUAAAUAGCUAGCCAGCUACUUUAUAACCCUGUUGUGUUGUGAAGCUAGCCACAAUAAGGAUUGGGCACAAUAGUGGAAUUUGCUGUUUGCCUUCAAAAUAAAAGUACCCCUUUUUUUUAUUUUUCCUUUAUUUAACUAGGCAAGUCAGUUAAGAACAAAUUCUUAUUUUCAAUGACGGCCUAGGAACAGUGGGUUAACUGCCUGUUCAGGGGCAGAACGACAGAUUUGUACCUUGUCAGCUCAGGGGUUUGAACUUGCAACCUUCCGGUUACUAGUCCAACGCUCUAACCACUAGACUACCCUGCCGAUAUAGAAGGUUAUAAUUUGUGGAAUCGUGACAUAUUUACACUAGAUAGUGUUAAACAAGGUUGGAAUGUGAAGCAAUGAAAUGGGGUAUGAGUCUAGUCGGUGACACCCACAGAACACAACUGUGAAGAGUUUAAGCAAAUAUUAGCGUUGUAGCUCUUAUCGCGGGACUGCGACUGUGUGAAAUCACCUCCCCAGUCAGCCUAUUGUGUGUUUUGACAUUCAUAUUGCACUGUACAGCUUUACCUAAGGAUUGAGGAUCAAUGAAAUGGGAUAUCAGUCUACUCAAUACCAAAUAUGUUUUUUCCCGAUGUCGUCCUCAGAGUUAUCAGACUCCAAAACAUCCACACAGUAUUGUUUUUCCUCAGGAAUAGUGUUCGGUACACGUAGGUUGACAAUAAAUGUGGCUCAAUUCACAGUUGUUUCAGAGUCCCGUAAUAAGAGCUACGAUGCCAAUGUUUCUCUGGGUGUCACUGAGUAGACUGAGACCACAUGUCAUUGAUCCACAAUCCAUAGGUAAAGGCUGUACAGUGAAAUAAGUAAAUUCCCAAUUCAAUUCUAAAGUAUAAUACAUACAGUGUGAUUUCAACAGAUUUGUGUCAAAUUAACAGUCUUUUCUUUUAGCAUGAUCUAUUAAAUGAUUGCAUCACUGUCAAUGACAUACUUUUAUUUUGAAGGCCACUAUUGUGGCUAAUCCUUAUUGUGGCUAGCCUCACAUAGAUGGGUCCGACCACCAUUACUCAACGAAGAACUGUCUUAUAAAUUAGGUUUAUUUUAGAUGAUGACACCUAGCUAUAUACCUUAUGAUCUGUGAACCGUACAUGAUACAGACAACAUCUUGAACUCAUUAUCCUCCUUACAGCGAGCUCUAACAUAAUGGGGUAUGUCUAGAUUCUGAAAUACAAUGUUUUACAUUCAUUUAACCAACAUUAAACAUAUGAAUAUAAAUAUCUCAACUACCCCCAUUUUUAAACACCAUAUUGUUUUAAGCAAUUUACUCUACAAUUAAAUACAAUUUCCAGAAAUGUCUGAUACAUUUAAUGUGCCCCACCAACACAGAUUCAAAAGGAACUCCCUCUGCUGGUGAUUUGCUGAAUGUGCAAUCCUAAAGGAGGUCUGUGAUUGGUUAAUGACAUAUAAUGUAAAAAAUUUUUAAUGUUAUAUCGUCAAAAAGUACCAGAGAGCCCACUCUGUGGAAAUGUGACGUUUUGUUGAAACUGUCAAAAAAUAUAUAUAUAUAUAUUUUUAAAAAUGCUAAAUUAAAAAAAAGCUCAAUUUAAAAAAGUGUUAUUUUGAGAUAUAGAUAUGUUUAAUGUUGAAUAAUAAGUUAGAGCUAUAAGGAGUAUUAUGACUCCACGAUGUAUCACAGAUCAUAAGGUCUUACAGAAUUAGCAUACGCACACCGAGUGUACAAAACAUUAGGAACACCUGCUCUUUCUGCGACAGACCGACCGACCAGGUGAAAGCGAUGAUCCCUUAUUGAUGUCACUUGUUAAAUCCACUUCAAUCAGAUGUAGAUGAAGGGGAGGAGACCUGGUUAAAGAAGGAUUUUAAAGCCUUGAGACAAUUUGAGACAUGGAUUGUGUAUGUGAGCCAUUCAGAGGGUGAAUAGACAAGACAAAAUAUUUAAGUGCCUUUAAACCGGUUAUGGUAGUAGGUGCCAGGCGCACCGGUUUGUGUGUGUCAAGAACUGCAACGCUUCUGAGUUUUUCACAGUCAACAGUUUCCCGUGUGUAUCAAGAAUGGUCCACCACCCAAAGGACAUCCAGUCAACUUGACACAACUGUGGGAAGCAUUGGAGUCAACAUGGGCCAGCGUCCCUGUGGAACGCAUUGGAGUCAACAUGGACCAGCAUCCCUGUGGAACGCUUUGUAGUCAACAUGGGCCAGCGUCCCUGUGGAACGCUUUGUAGUCAACAUGGGCCAGCGUCCCUGUGGAACGCAUUGGAGUCAACAUGGACCAGCAUCCCUGUGGAACGCAUUGUAGUCAACAUGGACCAGCAUCCCUGUGGAACGCAUUGGAGUCAACAUGGACCAGCAUCCCUGUGGAACGCAUUGUAGUCAACAUGGACCAGCAUCCCUGUGGAACGCUUUGUAGUCAACAUGGGCCAGCAUCCCUGUGGAACGCAUUGUAGUCAACAUGGACCAGCAUCCCUGUGGAACGCUUUGUAGUCAACAUGGACCAGCAUCCCUGUGGAACGCUUUGUAGUCAACAUGGGCCAGCAUCCCUGUGGAACGCUUUGUAGUCAACAUGGACCAGCAUCCCUGUGGAACGCUUUGUAGUCAACAUGGGCCAGCGUCCCUGUGGAACGCUUUGUAGUCAACAUGGGCCAGCAUCCCUGUGGAACGCUUUGUAGUCAACAUGGGCCAGCAUCCCUGUGGAACGCUUUGUAGUCAACAUGGGCCAGCAUCCCUGUGGAACGCUUUGUAGUCAACAUGGACCAGCAUCCCCGUGGAACGCAUUGUAGUCAACAUGAACCAGCAUCCCCGUGGAACGCUUUGUAGUCGACAUGGACCAGCAUCCCUGUGGAACGCAUUGUAGUCAACAUGGGCCAGCAUCCCUGUGGAACGCUUUGUAGUCGACAUGGACCAGCAUCCCUGUGGAACGCUUCCAGGUACCUUGUAGAGUCCAUGCCCCGAUGAAUUGAUGCUGUUCUGAGGGCAAAAGGGAGGUGCAACUCAAUAUUAGUAAGGUGUACUUAAUGUUUUGUGCACUCUUGUGGGUCUCAAAAGGCUUAAAAUGUGCCACUUUCAUCAUGAUUUUCUCAAAAAAUGGUUUGUGAUACAAAUGUAAAAAAAAAAACAUGUCUCAGACAUCCUUCCUCCCAAUGACGUUCCUGUGUGAGAAUUGCCAGAACAUUCUGAGAUGACAAAAAUAUUUUCUGCUGUUUGUGGAAUAACCCAUCUAUCUCUCUUUCUCUCAUGACCCUGUUCACUAAAACCCCAGAACAAAUACUGGGGAUAACAUGGAUGUUGUAGUCCCUCCCACAUAUUGAAUCACACUUAUUCAAAAAAAUAUAUAUAUAUAUAUAUAUAUAUCAGUGGUAUUAUCAGGAUGCCUCUCGGGAUCCGUUGCAUAAAUAUAGUCCGCCUGUAUUUUGACUCUAACCACGUUUCCAUCCACAGUUAUGUAAAGUCAUUACUGUAAACCAAUAAAAUAAUGAAAUAAAACCCAACAGAAGUCACAACAGUUGUGAUGGAAACGAGGCGUUUCGGUACAAUUCUAUAAAUGCCGACGGAUCGUUUGUUCGUUUGACACGGUGGGAUCUUUUUUGUGUCGGUAAAAUGUAAUAUGCUGUGGAAACGCCUUUUUAUAUGCAAAUAUUGAUAUAAUAACCAGAGUAAAACUGAGUCACGCAAUGAUAUGGUGUGUGUGUGUGUGGUCCUCCCACUAGGACUCGGGGAAACCAUGCCGUUUAUUAGGCUACAGAUUUAAACAAGUUAUAAACUUCACAGGGUGGUGAAAGUGCACUUUGAUGAGUUUAAUGCCCCCUUUACAAUAUAAAUAUUAAUUCUGGUGACAUGAUAAUCGAUGGGAAAUGUGCAUAUUUUAAUGUGGAUUUCAGAAUAUUCGCCUGAAUCUGUCGUCAAUUGGAUGGAAACCUAGCUAUUAACAUAAUUAUAAUCACGUCUUUCAUUUAUCUC
Oncorhynchus keta (chum salmon) is the source of this 5140-nucleotide long non-coding RNA. RefSeq lists it as uncharacterized. The transcript is spliced from 3 exons. Lineage: Eukaryota; Metazoa; Chordata; Actinopteri; Salmoniformes; Salmonidae. The record is from RefSeq and is a predicted model, not a curated record.